CUUCAAAAGUUCUCUAGCCUGCAUUUACGUCCAGCAAGUUCUUUAGAUAAUCUUGAGUUGAUUUUCUUAAGGUAGCGCGGAACCACAAUCCAGGUAAAUAUGUCGUCUGGUUGCCAAUCGCUUAGUUUAAGGUGAUGUACAAAGACAAAAAAGUUUGAAAGUUUGCUGUAUCACUAUUUUCUUUCCCUCUAUUUCUUUUUUCUUUUUUUCUUUUUUGUAAGUGUACAAAUUGAGGUGGCACCUAAAAAUUAUAGAAGAAGCUAAACCGUUCAGUUUCUGCUUUUGUCUAAGAUUCUCAGAAAAUUUGCUACAAGCAUGCCUAACCACAUAUGCAGCUGAGACAGCGGAGUACUGACGAAUCUGGAGACCCAGACAAAGAUCAACUGCCGGACUUCGUUCCAAGGACACAUUCUGAACUCAAAAAUGCCUGGCAAUAUGUUCUGAGAGAAUGUCUUCAGAAAAUAAGACGCUAGCAAACGCUACCACCUUCAGGUUAUUGAAAGGUUUUAUACCACCAUCAUCCGUCCAAAAUGGUGGAGGCUUUGGAGCCUUUUGGGGCAUCGUUACUUUAACCGCUAAGGUUCUUAGGAUAAUGAGAUUGGGUUUUCUAUUCUGUCUAUCCUUCUGGUGUCACAAUUUGUAGCAGAAAAUGUUGUUUGGUCUACGUAUUUUCAACUUCGUGUUGAUUCAUUACCAACCACCGCAGCCCUCUUUUACUCUUCACGUAUCAUUUCGAUUACGCAGCUGGCUGAAUCAUCUCAUUCUCGAGAUUACAAAGUUGUGAAGAAAACGAAGUGCUGAAUUGAGCAGUUGAAUUACUGUCAAAGCGUUUGGCUCACAAAAGAUGCCCUCAUCUCUGCACUGUCUUGUUGUUGAACUUGCUACAAUGAACGACUGUGGCAAUUCUGUAGCUUGUUUAGGCAUCCUCAGUGUAUGGGAUGCUUAGGCACGCUUCUUGUUUCCUAUUAGGAGGUUUUUGAAGUCUUCCGUGGUUGUUGAAGUCACAUUCUUCGUUAUAGAAAACUGUGAAUCCUCUGGUUCUUGUACUUUUUCCUUCGUCUGUUAAGAUCUAGAUCUCUUUCGGCUUGAAAAUUUGCAACUUCCAGUUUACGGUUACAGAUCGCAUCACCUUCUGUCUUAAGCAGCCGAUUAGUGGCAGCUUACACAGCUGGUAAGUUACUACCUAGAACCAAAAAAUUUGCAAAAAAGACAGAAAUGUUAGAUGUAAUGUUUUUAAGUUGUUUUAGGCUAAGCUUCAUAAACUUUAUGAAAACGUUUCAAUACUGUGAGAUGGCAGAAUCACUAGAUAUGCUGCGGUUGAAGUUCUAUUUCCCUCUGAAAAAUGUCUAAUGUCUUACAAAAAAUAUUGAAAUAUUCUUCUUCACUGAAAAUACAACCUUUACACACAUUCACAGAACAGGCAUUGACCGAAUUUCAAGAAACUGUCACCUUAUUGUGAUGACGAUUUGGUGCAAGUCAACUCAGCAUCCACGAAUGAACUCGUGUUCUAGGUUAAGAGGCACCAGACUGAUCAUUGGUGAUGUGCGGAGUGCUGCUUUUCUGUGAGCAGUUUCCACCAUUGGCGAACCAUCUUCACUUAAAGGUCAAAGAAUAGAGGCCAAAAGUUACGCUGAUGGUUGUGAUACGAAUCAAAAGCAUUGGAUUGCUGUACCAAUGCUAUAAGCACUGUAUUCAACUUUAAUUUUGAAUCUUCCGUUCAAAAUCUCUUGUUUGUUUGAAGU
RNAcentral lists this long non-coding RNA (1742 nucleotides) under Physcomitrium patens. RNAcentral's name for it is "long non-coding RNA (PPAT_LNC013655)". Lineage: Eukaryota; Viridiplantae; Streptophyta; Bryopsida; Funariales; Funariaceae. The record is from RNAcentral.